Mytilus californianus (California mussel) is the source of this 917-nucleotide long non-coding RNA. RefSeq lists it as uncharacterized. The transcript is spliced from 2 exons. The record is from RefSeq and is a predicted model, not a curated record. Lineage: Eukaryota; Metazoa; Mollusca; Bivalvia; Mytilida; Mytilidae.
UCAGAUGAUGUCAAGAUCAGAAUAGCCGUUACGGACUUACAUUCAUAAACGAGAUCAGCAACCUUCUAUCAAAGAAAUCAGGACAGGAAAUUAAUGACGGCAAGGUUUGUUGACUGACUGGAACAAACACAAAUUUUAUAAAACAUAUCCUAAAGAUCACUCAUUUCAAUAUUGGUGGAUUUCGGUUCAGUAGUUUCAGAUAGUCAAAAUGUUAAUCGGGACUGAACUGAACCGAUCACCAGAGAGGAAGAUACAAAAGCCGUAACUAGUGCAAAAGUUCGAAAACUAUAGCUAUCGAUGAUAUUCCCGCGGAAGUACUUGAAAACGACACAGCAAUUGAACUUCUGUACGAAUAUAAUGAGUGGUUGUUUCCAGCUCGAUAAAGUCCCAUUAGAAUGGACGAGAGGAAUAAUAAACCAAAUAUUAAAAACGAACGCAGACAAUGAACGUAUACUACUAAACUACAGUGAAAUAAAAUUUGAUAUCAGUACAAUGUAAAAUAUACUGUAGUAUUCUGAAUAAACGGCUUAAAAAAUGGUCAGAAGAUAUCGAUCAUUUCUGCGAGAAACACAAUGGCUUUCGCAGGGGUAGAAACUGUGAAGUUAAUACCCAAGCGUUAUACUUUCCCUCGAACGAUAAACAAAUAUCCCGACUGUCAACACAUGUAUGCUUUAUGAAAAUGAUGAUAGAGUUUGAAACCCUGAAUAGAACACUGUUAUGGCAUGAACGUCAAGCGUUGAGAAUACAGGGAAACUUUCUUACAGCGGUACAGUCACUUAACACUGACGCCAAAUGCACUGUCCGACUGAAUAAUGACUUAAGGUCAAGUUACAGUAAAGGGGCUAUGUCACAGAUUUUGCUAAAAUUUGGCAUACAACUUUGGCGCGUUGGACUAUAACUGAAAAUCAAAAAAAUAA